Molecule: ribosomal RNA, 493 nt
Filed under: uncultured bacterium
Lineage: Bacteria
Description: partial 16S ribosomal RNA
Rfam family: Bacterial small subunit ribosomal RNA
Source: RNAcentral
AUUGAACGCUGGCGGAAUGCUUUACACAUGCAAGUCGAACGGUAACAGGUUAAGCUGACGAGUGGCGAACGGGUGAGUAAUACAUCGGAACGUGCCCGGUCGUGGGGGAUAACGUAGAGAAAUUUACGCUAAUACCGCAUACGAUCUAAGGAUGAAAGCGGGGGACCGUAAGGCCUCGCGCGAUUGGAGCGGCCGAUGUCAGAUUAGGUAGUUGGUGGGGUAAAGGCCUACCAAGCCGACGAUCUGUAGCUGGUCUGAGAGGACGACCAGCCACACUGGGACUGAGACACGGCCCAGACUCCUACGGGAGGCAGCAGUGGGGAAUUUUGGGCAAUGGGCGCAAGCCUGAUCCAGCCAUUCCGCGUGCAGGAUGAAGGCCCUCGGGUUGUAAACUGCUUUUGUACAGAACGAAAAGGUCUGGGUUAAUACCCUGGGCUCAUGACGGUACUGUAAGAAUAAGCACCGGCUAACUACGUGCCAGCAGCCGCCGUAA